This 904-nucleotide long non-coding RNA is filed under the name Gallus gallus (chicken). Its description in RNAcentral is "long non-coding RNA NONGGAT007824". The record is from RNAcentral. Lineage: Eukaryota; Metazoa; Chordata; Aves; Galliformes; Phasianidae.
GUUACAGGCCUAAAACAAUGGCCGAAAGGCGUUCUGGAAUCCCGGUCAACCUGUCGUUCCUCUCAGCUGAGGAAACAGCCCACAGGCACGUAGGCGCCUCACCCCACGUGAAGCAGCCCCGGCAGCUGCCUCCUGAGGACGGGCUGCCCCCGGGCGUCAGGAGCUGUCACGGCCCUUCCCAGUAUUGUCCCGCCGUAGGGGGCGCUGUGCGGCGCGGCCGCCUCUCUGGUUCCGGAUGUUCGCUCGUUGGCGGGUCCCUUCCCGGCAUCCCCCGCGGCGGUAGCGGAGGCAGUCCCUGUUCCGUGACCUUCGGUGGCAACCGCGCUCUCCCGGCCUAACGAUGGUGCAAAAUAUGAUUCCAAAGUCAUGGAGAGCCAUGAAAUUCUACUUCACUACUGUUUACCAAGAAAUAUGGGUUGGUCUAGCAUUAACAGCGUAUGCCUAUUACAAAAUUUCGUACGGUGUAGGGAUCUUGAUGGCUAUAAAUUCUAAAUGCACGAGUCUUGGUUGAUGGAAGCAGUUAAAAAUCAAUAUAAUACUUACAGAAAUGUACCAUGAAAAGUGCAUCAUGUACAUUCAUUGAAGUUUGUUCAUGCUCAGUCAGCAAAUACUUGUUUUUCUUUCUCUCUAGGCAAAAAAGCAGUGGCGGAUAGUAAGUAUUAACUAUUACUUGUAUUAUUUUAAAUUAGUGCACUAAACAGAGCAUAUUUUACAUAAGCUUGGGUUUUAUUUAACCAAUUUAGUAGGUGUUUAAAGGCUGCCUCAAAGUAUGCAGUUUUAGUUGUUUGGAUGGUUUUGUAACCUAAAAGCAUUUGUGAAUCUGCCCAGAUGCUGCCUCCAUUUUCAAUUUUACUUUGCAUAGCUUUUAGGAGCAAAGUGGAAGUUGUAUGUCUUAAUAGGAUGG